GCCCUGUAGCUCAGUUGGUUAGAGCAUCCAACUGUUGUGCGGAAGGUCAUGGGUUGGCGUCCUGUUGGGGAUUCA
This is a non-coding RNA of Desmophyllum pertusum, 75 nucleotides long. Lineage: Eukaryota; Metazoa; Cnidaria; Anthozoa; Scleractinia; Caryophylliidae. The record is from the annotation of a GenBank genome assembly.